This 1318-nucleotide ribosomal RNA is filed under the name metagenome. Its description in RNAcentral is "bacterial LSU rRNA". It matches the Rfam family "Bacterial large subunit ribosomal RNA", at positions 1563 to 2925 of the family's 2925-position model. The record is from RNAcentral.
GGAUUGGGAGGGUUCUACGGAACCCGUUUGGUGAAUCUAGUGCCGAGAAAAGCCUUCUAUGUGUUGAAUUUCUAGUACCCGUACCCCAAACCGACACAGGUGGGUGGGUAGAGCAUACCUAGGGGCGCGUGAUAACUCUCUCUAAGGAACUCGGCAAAAUGGCCCUGUAACUUCGGGAUAAGGGGUGCCUGCGUGAGCAGGCCGCAGUGAAAUGGCUCUGGCGACUGUUUACCAAAAACACAGGUCUCUGCUAAGUCGUAAGACGAUGUAUAGGGGCUGACUCCUGCCCAGUGCCGGAAGGUUAAGGAAGUUGGUUAGCGCAAGCGAAGCUGGCGACCGAAGCCCCGGUGAACGGCGGCCGUAACUAUAACGGUCCUAAGGUAGCGAAAUUCCUUGUCGGGUAAGUUCCGACCCGCACGAAAGGAGUAACGAUCAGAGCGCUGUCUCGGAGAGAGACACGGCGAAAUAGGAUUGUCCGUGAAGAUACGGACUACCUGCACCCGGACAGAAAGACCCUAUGAAGCUUUACUGUAACUUGGAAUUGUGUUCGGACUUUGUCUGCGCAGAAUAGGUGGGAGGCUAUGAAACGUUCCUCGCGGGGAACUGGAGCCAUCGUUGAGAUACCACUCUGGCAGAGUCUGGAUUCUAACCUACGGGGACAGUUCCAGGUGGGCAGUUUGACUGGGGCGGUCGCCUCCUAAAAUGUAACGGAGGCGCGCAAAGGUUCCCUCAGGCUGGUUGGAAAUCAGCCAUAGAGUGUAAAAGCAUAAGGGAGCUUGACUGUGAGACCUACAAGUCGAGCAGGGACGAAAGUCGGCUUUAGUGAUCCGACGGCACUGAGUGGAAGGGCCGUCGCUCAACGGAUAAAAGUUACUCUAAGGAUAACAGGCUGAUCUCCCCCAAGAGUUCACAUCGACGGGGAGGUUUGGCACCUCGAUGUCGGCUCGUCGCAACCUGGGGCGGUAGUACGUCCCAAGGGUUGGGCCGUUCGCCCAUUAAAGCGGCACGUGAGCUGGGUUCAGAACGUCGUGAGACAGUUCGGUCCAUAUCCGGUGUAGGCGUAGGAGCAUUGAAAGGAUCUCUCCUUAGUACGAGAGGACCGGGAGGGACGUACCUCUGGUGUACCUGUUAUCGUGCCAACGGUAAACGCAGGGUAGCCAUGUGCGGAGUGGAUAACCGCUGAAAGCAUCUAAGUGGGAAGCCCACCUUAAGAUGAGUGCUCCCUUGAGGCCACGGGAAGACGACCCGUUUGAUAGUCGCUAGGUGGAAGUGCAGUAAUGCAUGCAGCCGAGGCGUACUAAUAGGCCGAUGGCUUGUC